UACGAAGGGGGCUAGCGUUGCUCGGAAUUACUGGGCGUAAAGCGCACGUAGGCGGAUUGUUAAGUCGGGGGUGAAAUCCUGGAGCUCAACUCCAGAACUGCCUUCGAUACUGGCGAUCUCGAGUCCGGGAGAGGUGAGUGGAAUUGCGAGUGUAGAGGUGAAAUUCGUAGAUAUUCGCAAGAACACCAGUGGCGAAGGCGGCUCACUGGCCCGGUACUGACGCUGAGGUGCGAAAGCGUGGGGAGCAACAGG
Molecule: ribosomal RNA, 252 nt
Filed under: uncultured bacterium
Lineage: Bacteria
Description: partial 16S ribosomal RNA
Rfam family: Bacterial small subunit ribosomal RNA
Source: RNAcentral